Molecule: long non-coding RNA, 916 nt
Filed under: Ananas comosus (pineapple)
Lineage: Eukaryota; Viridiplantae; Streptophyta; Magnoliopsida; Poales; Bromeliaceae
Description: long non-coding RNA (ACOM_LNC003770)
Source: RNAcentral
CAGCAAUAUGCGAUGAUCGGUGGAUCAAGAAUGGAUUGAGAAGUGGAGGAUGCGAACAGGUUCUUUUUCUUUUAUGGAGGAGCAAGAGUAUGAAGAAGCAGGAGCGGGCAGAAAAAAAAAAGGAGGGAGAGAUUUUUGCCUAAGAUUUUUAUUUUGAAAGUAAGAUUUCUGACGGUGGAGGGAAAGACGAAAAUACGCGAUAUUUCUUAAAAUAUAAGAAAUAAGUCAGAGUAUUUUUUUAUGGACAAAAUAUAAUAUGGUCAUAAAUAUAGAGUUAAAUAUUACUGCUAAAAUUAGCUGUUUUCAAGAUUUUUUUGCAAUUAAUAUACAUAAAUUUAGGAUUCGUUUGGAUCAAAAUAGAAAUUAGAAUCAGAAUAGAAUUCAGAGAUGGACCAGAAUUAGAAACAAAAUAGUAAAACCAUCUACCAUGUUUGGUUUAGAAUAAAAAUCGAAAUCAAAUGGCUGAUUUUCAUUUUUAUAGAAUUUAAAAUCAAGUUCGCAACUCAAACGAUAGAAUUAAAUUUAUAAUUUAAGUCCAUAAUAAAAAUUAAAUAUUAAAUAUUUACAUCAAAAAUUUAAAAUAAUAAGUAAAAAUUUCAAAUACAAAUUUUUAAAAAUUAAAAUUUGAAACUGAGUGAAUAAUUCAACAGACAAAACUAAUUUUUUGUUUGAUUCAAAUUUAUACUUGAAAUUACAAUUUAAAUUUCAAUUCAAGUCUAUAAAAUUUAAUUUAUAAAAUUUACAAUAUAAAAUUUAAAAAUAAAAUUUAAAUUUAAAAUUUAUUUAUCAAUUGCUUGAUUGAAUUUUAAUUUUACUUUAAGUUCAAGUUAAAAUAUAAAUGUCACGCCCCGGGACCGAUUUUAAAAGCCUUUUGAAAACAGAGUUGCGGAAAGCGUGCCAUUUUUUUUUUUUUUUU